Molecule: ribosomal RNA, 608 nt
Filed under: Cryptonemia yendoi
Lineage: Eukaryota; Rhodophyta; Florideophyceae; Halymeniales; Halymeniaceae
Description: eukaryotic LSU rRNA
Rfam family: Eukaryotic large subunit ribosomal RNA
Source: RNAcentral
AACAACUCACCUGCCGAAUGAAUUAGCCCUGAAAAUGGAUGGCGCUUAAGCGGGCGACCGACACCAUGCCGUCUGUAAAAGAUAUCAGAUGAGUAGGAGGACGUGGCGGGUGUGUCGAAGCAUGCGUGCAGACGCGUGUGGAACAGCCGCUAGUGCAGAUCUUGGUGGUAGUAGCAAAUAUUCAAGCGAGAUCCUUGAAGGGCGAAGCGGGGAAGGGUUCCACGCGAACAUUGAUUGGGCGUGGGUGAGUCGUUCCUAAGCCGAGUGGCAAUUGCUAAGUAGCGGCGAAAGGGAAGCAGGUUGACAUUCCUGCACACGGAUGUGGAGGCGGUGACGCUUUAAUGAGGGCGAACACGCUGGCGGUGGCGCUGGGCAGAGUUUUCUUUUCUGUUUGACCGCUGCAGCACACAGUGUGGAAUCCGCUUGUCGGGAGAAACACGCGUGCUCGGGCAGAGCGCCGGGGCUAUUCCGGCGUCCAGCUCGCCACCGACGGCCCUUGAAACUUUGCCUGCUGGUAUUUAUGUUUUUAAUAAAAAAAUCCACGCCGUGGCGUACCGAUCACCGCAUCAGGUCCCCAAGGUGAACAGCCUCUGCUCGAUAUGAAAAAU